This 636-nucleotide ribosomal RNA is filed under the name bacterium. RNAcentral describes it as "bacterial SSU rRNA". It matches the Rfam family "Bacterial small subunit ribosomal RNA", at positions 85 to 756 of the family's 1533-position model. The record is from RNAcentral.
UCGGGUGUCAGUGGCAGACGGGUGAGUAACACGUGGGAACGUACCCUUCGGUUCGGAAUAACUCAGGGAAACUUGAGCUAAUACCGGAUACGCCCUUUUGGGGAAAGGUUUACUGCCGAAGGAUCGGCCCGCGUCUGAUUAGCUUGUUGGUGGGGUAACGGCCUACCAAGGCGACGAUCAGUAGCUGGUCUGAGAGGAUGAUCAGCCACACUGGGACUGAGACACGGCCCAGACUCCUACGGGAGGCAGCAGUGGGGAAUAUUGGACAAUGGGCGCAAGCCUGAUCCAGCCAUGCCGCGUGAGUGAUGAAGGCCUUAGGGUUGUAAAGCUCUUUUGUCCGGGACGAUAAUGACGGUACCGGAAGAAUAAGCCCCGGCUAACUUCGUGCCAGCAGCCGCGGUAAUACGAAGGGGGCUAGCGUUGCUCGGAAUCACUGGGCGUAAAGGGCGCGUAGGCGGCCGAUUAAGUCGGGGGUGAAAGCCUGUGGCUCAACCACAGAAUUGCCUUCGAUACUGGUUGGCUUGAGACCGGAAGAGGACAGCGGAACUGCGAGUGUAGAGGUGAAAUUCGUAGAUAUUCGCAAGAACACCAGUGGCGAAGGCGGCUGUCUGGUCCGGUUCUGACGCUGAGGCGCGA